AUGAGCCUUGGCAUGACGCUGGUGCUCUUCCUGACGGAAGACGCGGAGCUGCGCGCCGGCGAGGGCCGCUCCUUGACGGGCGUCCUCUCCUCGAAGCUGAGCGCGAUGGGCCUGACGACCUUGGGCGACGCCGCCGUGGCGCCACCAUGGUUCUCGGGGCCCCAGGAGCCUCUGCGCGGCGCGGCGGGCUUCCUGGCGAGGGGCUCGGGGGUGCCGACGACGAGCGGGUGGCGGCCGGGGAUCGGCCUGGCGCCGACGACGACGGGGACGGGGGAGCCGGGGUCGAGGCGGUCGACGUGGAGGAACUGGCCGAGGCUGAGCUUGUUGGCGAGGACGAGGUCGGCCUGGGCCGGCGGCAGCGUGGCGUAG
RNAcentral lists this ribosomal RNA (369 nucleotides) under Triticum aestivum (bread wheat). Its description in RNAcentral is "partial small subunit ribosomal RNA". The record is from RNAcentral. Lineage: Eukaryota; Viridiplantae; Streptophyta; Magnoliopsida; Poales; Poaceae.